This 478-nucleotide ribosomal RNA is filed under the name uncultured bacterium. RNAcentral describes it as "partial 16S ribosomal RNA". It matches the Rfam family "Bacterial small subunit ribosomal RNA", at positions 28 to 523 of the family's 1533-position model. The record is from RNAcentral.
GACGAACGCUGGCGGCGUGCUUAACACAUGCAAGUCGAACGGUAAGGCCCUUCGGGGUACACGAGUGGCGAACGGGUGAGUAACACGUGGGUGAUCUGCCCUGCACUUCGGGAUAAGCCUGGGAAACUGGGUCUAAUACCGGAUAGGACCCUGGGAUGCAUGUCCUGGGGUGGAAAGCUUUUGCGGUGUGGGAUGGGCCCGCGGCCUAUCAGCUUGUUGGUGGGGUGAUGGCCUACCAAGGCGACGACGGGUAGCCGGCCUGAGAGGGUGACCGGCCACCCGGGGACUGAGAUACGGCCCAGACUCCUACGGGAGGCAGUAGUGGGGAAUAUUGCGCAAUGGGCGCAAGCCUGAUGCAGCGACGCCGCGUGAGGGAUGACGGCCUUCGUGUUGUAAACCUCUUUCAGCACCGACGAAGCGCAAGUGACGGUAGGUGCAGAAGAAGGACCGGCCAACUACGUGCCAGCCGCCGCCGUAA